This 227-nucleotide ribosomal RNA is filed under the name uncultured bacterium. Its description in RNAcentral is "partial 16S ribosomal RNA". It matches the Rfam family "Bacterial small subunit ribosomal RNA", at positions 383 to 607 of the family's 1533-position model. The record is from RNAcentral.
CUGAACCAGCCAAGUAGCGUGAAGGAUGAAGGCUCUAUGGGUCGUGAACUUCUUUUAUAUAAGAAUAAAGUGCAGUAUGUAUACUGUUUUGUAUGUAUUAUAUGAAUAAGGAUCGGCUAACUCCGUGCCAGCAGCCGCGGUAAUACGGAGGAUCCGAGCGUUAUCCGGAUUUAUUGGGUUUAAAGGGAGCGUAGGUGGACUGGUAAGUCAGUUGUGAAAGUUUGCGG